GAUGAACGCUGGCGGCGUGCCUAAUACAUGCAAGUCGAGCGAACGGACGAGAAGCUUGCUUCUCUGAUGUUAGCGGCGGACGGGUGAGUAACACGUGGAUAACCUACCUAUAAGACUGGGAUAACUUCGGGAAACCGGAGCUAAUACCGGAUAAUAUUUUGAACCGCAUUGUUCAAAAGUGAAAUACGGUCUUGCUGUCACUUAUAGAUGGAUCCGCGCUGCAUUAGCUAGUUGGUAAGGUAACGGCUUACCAAGGCAACGAUGCAUAGCCGACCUGAGAGGGUGAUCGGCCACACUGGAAGUGAGACACGGAACAGACACCUACGGGAGGCAGCAGUAGGGAAUCGUCCGCAAUGGGCGAAGGCCUGACGGAGCAACGCCGCGUGAGUGAUGAAGGUCUGCGGAUCGUAAAACGCUGUUAUUAGGGAAGAACAUAUGUGUAAGUAACUGUGCACAUCUUGACGGUAACUAAUCAGAAAGCAACGGCUAACUACGUG
Molecule: ribosomal RNA, 497 nt
Filed under: uncultured bacterium
Lineage: Bacteria
Description: partial 16S ribosomal RNA
Rfam family: Bacterial small subunit ribosomal RNA
Source: RNAcentral